This 490-nucleotide ribosomal RNA is filed under the name uncultured bacterium. RNAcentral's name for it is "partial 16S ribosomal RNA". It matches the Rfam family "Bacterial small subunit ribosomal RNA", at positions 29 to 523 of the family's 1533-position model. The record is from RNAcentral.
AACGAACGCUGGCGGCGUGCUUAACACAUGCAAGUCGAACGUGAAAGUGGCUUCGGCCAUGAGUAAAGUGGCAGACGGGUGAGUAACACGUGGGUAACCUGCCCCUUGGCGGGGGAUAACCAUUCGAAAGGAUGGCUAAUACCGCAUAAGACCACGUCCCUGAUGGGAUGGGGUAAGAGACGAAAGUCACCGAGGGAGGGGCCCGCGGCCGAUUAGCUAGUUGGGGCGGUAAUGGCUAACCAAGGCGACGAUCGGUAGCUGGUCUGAGAGGAUGAUCAGCCACACUGGUACUUAGACACGGACCAGACUCCUACGGGAGGCAGCAGUGGGGAAUAUUGCGCAAUGGACGAAAGUCUGACGCAGCAACGCCGCGUGGGUGAAGAAGGCCUUCGGGUCGUAAAGCCCUGUCAGGUGGGAAGAAACCUGCGUAAGCAGCUGACGGUACCACCAAAGGAAGCACCGGCUAACUCCGUGCCAGCCGCCGCGGUAA